AUGAACGCUGGCGGCGUGCCUAAUACAUGCAAGUCGAGCGAACAGACGAGAAGCUUGCCUCUCUGAUGUUAGCGGCGGACGGGGGAGUAACACGUGGAUAACCUACCUAUAAGACUGGGAUAACUUCGGGAAACCGUAGCUAAUACCGGAUAAUAUUUUGAACCGCAUGGUUCAAAAGUGAAAGACGGUCUUGCUGUCACUUAUAGAUGGAUCCGCGCUGCAUUAGCUAGUUGGUAAGGUAACGGCUUACCAAGGCAACGAUGCAUAGCCGACCUGAGAGGGUGAUCGGCCACACUGGAACUGAGACACGGUCCAGACUCCUACGGGAGGCAGCAGUAGGGAAUCUUCCGCAAUGGGCGAAAGCCUGACGGAGCAACGCCGCGUGAGUGAUGAAGGUCUUCGGAUCGUAAAACUCUGUUAUUAGGGAAGAACAUAUGUGUAAGUAACUGUGCACAUCUUGACGGUACCUAAUCAGAAAGCCACGGCUAACUACGUG
This 496-nucleotide ribosomal RNA is filed under the name uncultured bacterium. RNAcentral describes it as "partial 16S ribosomal RNA". It matches the Rfam family "Bacterial small subunit ribosomal RNA", at positions 29 to 507 of the family's 1533-position model. The record is from RNAcentral.